AUAGAGUAUUAAAAGGGAAGCGUUUUUAAAAAGAUAAGUUCAUUUUGAGAUUCUACCUUUGAAAUCUAUUCUCCAAAGUUGAAAAAAUGUUUUAUUUUCGCAGUAUAUUGGUAAUUACCUUGAUCGUUUUGGUAUUUGCGACUUUCCUGACAAAUGCAUCUGACGAUAAAGAUACUUAUUCUCUGAUGGGUGAAACCACUGAACAAGCCGAUGCUAGUACAUCUUAUAAUAUUUUGGAUUCUGAUGAUCCGCUGAUACGGCUUGCUUGCAAAAUAUUUAAAGACCCGACGUGAGUGUUUCGAAGAACGUAUAUGCAUGAUUUUCUCAUCACAAUU
Contarinia nasturtii (swede midge) is the source of this 335-nucleotide long non-coding RNA. RefSeq lists it as uncharacterized. The transcript has 4 exons. NCBI's taxonomy places the organism in Eukaryota, Metazoa, Arthropoda, Insecta, Diptera, Cecidomyiidae. The record is from RefSeq and is a predicted model, not a curated record.